This 397-nucleotide ribosomal RNA is filed under the name uncultured bacterium. Its description in RNAcentral is "bacterial SSU rRNA". It matches the Rfam family "Bacterial small subunit ribosomal RNA", at positions 29 to 426 of the family's 1533-position model. The record is from RNAcentral.
AGCGAACGUUUGCGGCGGGCCUAACACAUGCAAGUCGAACGGGCUGUCCUUCGGGCGAGUCAGUGGCGCACGGGUGCGUAACACGUAGGUAAUCAACCCUUGGGUUCGGGAUAACACUGCGAAAGAGGUGCUAAUACCGGAUGCGACGGACGGGGCUUCGGCUCUGUUCGGGAAAGAUCCGCAAGGAUUGCCCCGAGGACGAGCCUGCGGCCCAUCAGCUUGUUGGUGAGGUAAAAGCUCACCAAGGCUAAGACGGGUAGCUGGUCUGAGAGGAUGAUCAGCCACACUGGAACUGAGACACGGUCCAGACUCCUACGGGAGGCAGCGGUGGGGAAUAUUGCGCAAUGGGCGAAAGCCUGACGCAGCCAGCCGCGUGAGCGAUGAAGGCCUUGGUCGU